CCUACGGGUGGCAGCAGUGAGGAAUAUUGGUCAAUGGACGAGAGUCUGAACCAGCCAAGUAGCGUGAAGGAGGACUGCCCUAUGGGUUGUAAACUUCUUUUAUAUGGGAAUAAAAUGUUCCACGUGUGGGAUUUUGUAUGUACCAUAUGAAUAAGGAUCGGCUAACUCCGUGCCAGCAGCCGCGGUAAUACGGAGGAUCCGAGCGUUAUCCGGAUUUAUUGGGUUUAAAGGGAGCGUAGGUGGAUUGUUAAGUCAGUUGUGAAAGUUUGCGGCUCAACCGUAAAAUUGCAGUUGAAACUGGCAGUCUUGAGUACAGUAGAGGUGGGCGGAAUGCGUGGUGUAGCGGUGAAAUGCUUAGAUAUCACGAAGAACUCCGAUUGCGAAGGCAGUUCACUGGACUGCAACUGACACUGAGGCUCGAAAGUGUGGGUAUCAAACAGGAUUAGAUACCCCUGUAGUC
Molecule: ribosomal RNA, 460 nt
Filed under: uncultured bacterium
Lineage: Bacteria
Description: partial 16S ribosomal RNA
Rfam family: Bacterial small subunit ribosomal RNA
Source: RNAcentral